Molecule: long non-coding RNA, 501 nt
Organism: Salvelinus namaycush (lake trout)
Lineage: Eukaryota; Metazoa; Chordata; Actinopteri; Salmoniformes; Salmonidae
Exons: 4
Source: RefSeq, a predicted model, not a curated record
UCUUCUAGAAAAACCUGCAUCACCUCCCCUUUAUAUACACUCAGUGAAAGAAUUGACAGGUGAAAAUAGUAUGGGCAGCAGAUGUCUUUUUUUUCUCAGAUGAGUGCAAAUAAAGGAGAUGAGGAGAGGUCCGAUGUUUUUGACAAUAGACAAUGAGCCAUUUGCAUCAUCACCUGCUGAACACUCCGUUCCCGUGUCGAGUCCAACUUCUCGUAGCCUUCGUUUUAGGAGUUCAUUCUCUCUCUUCGUCCGGGCAGUCUCCUCCUCGAAUUCUGACACUGUCCCCCCAACAACCUCCAGUAUCUCAUCUAUACCACCAUUAACCGCUCGGUGAGCCGUCUCUUCUCGGUACUCGGCCACUGUGUCCCCGACUACGUCCAGAAUCUCCCGCACCACUACCGUUAAACGUUCUGUCAGGUCAUUGCAGGCGGUGGCUCUCCUGGGAAAAUGCAGGCUGUAGGACCAUGCCUCAGGACUACCUGGCCUGAUGACUCCUUGCUG